Molecule: long non-coding RNA, 409 nt
Filed under: Rattus norvegicus (Norway rat)
Lineage: Eukaryota; Metazoa; Chordata; Mammalia; Rodentia; Muridae
Description: long non-coding RNA NONRATT014310
Source: RNAcentral
CCGACGUUUGAGUCGAAUCCACUGUGCUUAAUCAGAAACCAGUUGUGCUCCCUGCUAUGGGGAGAUGAGCAUGGGUACCACGGGAGGAGGAGAGUGUAAGCCGUUGGAUGCUCUGCUAUCACCAUAGCUGGCUGCUAUCUGUUGAGUUUAGAGUUUAGACCGUGGGCCAGCCCCGCAGGAGUGUGUUCUGUGUGUCAUCCGGUCCCAUCUUUAAAAUGAAUCAAAUGCAUUGAGUGUCAUGAUCUCGGCAGAAUCAGCAGGCAAAGUGUGUUUCAGGGUGCCAGGCUUGCCCCUUCAACAAGAGCAUUUUCGAGGACAGGCUGGCAUAUUUACCUGUAUGUAUGUAAAGAUUCUACUAGUAGAAAUAAACUGCCUGGUGGUCUAGUCCUCUGGUGAGCCAGGGCUUCAU